GAUCAAGUAAAAAAGGGCGCACGGUGGAUGCCCUGGCACUAGGAGCCGAUGAAGGACGUGAUAAGCUGCGAUAAGUUGCGGGUAGAUGCAAAUAAUCUGUGAUCCGCAGAUUUCCGAAUGGGGAAACCCACUUAGCUAACGCUAAGUACUAUAUGCUGAAUACAUAGGCAUAUAGAGGUACACCUGGGGAACUGAAACAUCUAAGUACCCAGAGGAAGAGAAAGAAAAUUCGAUUCCCUAAGUAGCGGCGAGCGAAAGGGGAAGAGCCCAAACCAGAAACUUCGUUUCUGGGGUUGUGGAUAGAUCAUAACGCUUUGAUUUUCUUAGCCGAAUAGAACUGGAAAGUUCAGUCGUAGAAGGUAAUAACCCUGUAGGCGAAAAGAAAAGAUAAGCAGAUCUACUCCAGAGUACCACGAGACACGUGAAACCUUGUGGGAAGCAGGGAGGACCAUCUCCCAAGGCUAAAUACUACCUAGUGACCGAUAGCGAAGCAGUACCGUGAGGGAAAGGUGAAAAGAACCCCGGGAGGGGAGUGAAAUAGAACCUGAAACCGUGUGCCUACAAUCGGUGGGAGCACUUUUAUGUGUGACCGCGUACUUUUUGUAGAACGGGCCAGCGAGUUACGAUAUGCAGCAAGGUUAAGCACUUCUGGUGCGGAGCCGAAGGGAAACCGAGUCUGAAUAGGGCAACUAGUUGCAUAUCGUAGACCCGAAACCGGGUGACCUAUCCAUGGCCAGGAUGAAGCGAAAGUAA
Ribosomal RNA from Clostridium colicanis DSM 13634, 753 nucleotides. It matches the Rfam family "Bacterial large subunit ribosomal RNA", at positions 1 to 759 of the family's 2925-position model. Lineage: Bacteria; Bacillati; Bacillota; Clostridia; Eubacteriales; Clostridiaceae. The record is from Rfam.